UUCUGGCUUUUCAUACUCCUUUGCAGCCUGCCAGUGGGACUGGUUUCUACUUCAGCAGCUUCACCUGAACUCAGGCUACGCCUGCUGGUUCCAACAUCACAAACCCAGAUCAAUGGCAGCAGAGCCCAUGAAAAGAGAUGCCGUCAUGAACAAGUUAAUAGGCAUGGACAAAGCAUCUGCAAGCAACAUAUACCCCAAGCUUCAGUGGUUUGCUUUUUGUUUGCACUAGUACUUGUAUUUUUACUAUGUGGCAAAAAUAUCUAGAGGCAUUGGUUGGAGGGUUUUUAAUCUAUGAUUUGUUUAACUUCAAAACAAUAAAUAAAAAAUAAAAAUCAAUUAGAGCAGCCAGAAAGAGAGCAAGCUGCUUUUGUUGGCUGCAAAUGAA
Molecule: long non-coding RNA, 385 nt
Organism: Harpia harpyja (harpy eagle)
Lineage: Eukaryota; Metazoa; Chordata; Aves; Accipitriformes; Accipitridae
Exons: 2
Source: RefSeq, a predicted model, not a curated record